GACUGGUCAGAUUUGUGCUUCAAGAGGAUCCCUCCGGCUGCACCAGGCCAAAGGAGGAGGCCACUGCUACUGCAGGGUCCAGACCAGCUUCAGUCCUGGGCGGGGCCAGAGAAGACCCAAGUCAGGGACUUCUGAUGAACAGUGUGACCCUGCCACCUCAAGAGGCCCCUGUCAGCCUACGCACAGGCCACAUGGACCUUCCAUCCACACCCCUCAGGGCUGCUCCUGCAGGCUGCCCCUCCCUCACCGAGCAGGCUCAAUCUGGCUCAGGCAGGAUGGCUGCGGGCUCAGCUUAACCGGCCAGGCAGGCUUCCCUUUGCCUACUUCGGAAACUCACAGAGACCUGUCACCCCAAGAGCUGGGACCCUGACCUCGCGAGUCCAGCGU
Non-coding RNA from Microcebus murinus (gray mouse lemur), 387 nucleotides. The record is from RefSeq and is a predicted model, not a curated record. NCBI's taxonomy places the organism in Eukaryota, Metazoa, Chordata, Mammalia, Primates, Cheirogaleidae.